AUGUUUGUUGGCUACAUAAAUGUCUUCUUUUUAGAAGUGACUGUUCAUAUCCUUUACCCACUAUUUGAUUUUGUUUUCUUUUGUAGGUUUGCUGAAGUUCUUUGUAGAUUCUGGACAUUAGCUCUUUAUCAGGAUUGUCUAAGUGCCACAGAGUUGAUAUCAUCAAGAACAGUUGGAGACAAACUUCUGGUCUUCAGGCACUCAUUGUCACUGCUGACAUGCCCAGAUUCACCUGGACAAUUCAAAUGCAUCAUACCCAUCUCUCUACCUGACAGAGAGAGCUUUAACAAUAGCCCCAAACUCCAAGCAUCAGCCUUCAUUCCCUAUGUUUCUGACCAAGUGAGCCUAAUUUUUUUUCUGUCAGACUGAAACACAAAAUAUUUAUGUUCCUCUCUCCCAUACACACAUACAUGUACUCACGUCUUAGAAAUAUACUACUGUCUUUUUUCCCCUGAAUAUGGAGUUAAAAUAAAAAGUAUUUUUCCAAUGGUGAC
This 494-nucleotide long non-coding RNA is filed under the name Callithrix jacchus (white-tufted-ear marmoset). RNAcentral's name for it is "lncRNA (ENSCJAG00000074346.1)". The record is from RNAcentral. Lineage: Eukaryota; Metazoa; Chordata; Mammalia; Primates; Cebidae.